CCUACGGGAGACAGCAGUGAGGAAUAUUGGUCAAUGGACGAGAGUCUGAACCAGCCAAGUAGCGUGAAGGAUGACUGCCCUAUGGGUUGUAAACUUCUUUUAUAUGGGAAUAAAAUGUUCCACGUGUGGGAUUUUGUAUGUACCAUAUGAAUAAGGAUCGGCUAACUCCGUGCCAGCAGCAGCGGUAAUACGGAGGAUCCGAGCGUUAUCCGGAUUUAUUGGGUUUAAAGGGAGCGUAGGUGGAUUGGUAAGUCAGUUGUGAAAGUUUGCGGCUCAACCGUAAAAUUGCAGUUGAAACUGGCAGUCUGGAGUACAGUAGAGGUGGGCGGAAUUCGUGGUGUAGCGGUGAAAUGCUUAGAUAUCACGAAGAACUCCGAUUGCGAAGGCAGCUCACUGGACUGCAACUGACACUGAGGCUCGAAAGUGUGGGUAUCAAACAGGAUUAGAUACCCGAGUAGUC
RNAcentral lists this ribosomal RNA (460 nucleotides) under uncultured bacterium. RNAcentral's name for it is "partial 16S ribosomal RNA". It matches the Rfam family "Bacterial small subunit ribosomal RNA", at positions 338 to 795 of the family's 1533-position model. The record is from RNAcentral.